UCUCUCAACAUCUCUUUACCCGUGAGCAUGCGUCUUAGCAUGUUUGUGUAAUUAUAUUUUAUAGGUGGAUCCUAUCAAAGAAGAAUUUCUAUCACCACCAUGGACAGACAAUAAGUCUAUCUUUCUUCUAUCUUGUAUUGUUUGAUCCGUAAUCAGUUUCUCACAAAGAGUAAAUCCGGUCUAAUUUUAAUUCGUACAAGAAUCUUUGGGCUUCUCUUCACACCCUCACACUUCCCCCUCAGAAAGAAUAUUCACUUCCUCAAAGACCCAACCUCUCUCCAACACCUCAUGCCGAUCCUGUGAUCUUAUUGGAAGGAUCAACAGUCAUAAAAACCACCAAAAAAACAAAUGCAAAAUAGCUAGCUAGCACGGAUAUAAGUGACAGUCAGUCACUUCAGCUUGCAACAGGCAGAGCGAGGAAGGAGAGAGAAGAAGAAGAAGAUCACUGCUUGAGAAAAAAACCAAACACCCCGUCAAUAACACCACAAGAUGGCCGGUAGGACGAAUGGACUGGAAAAUUAUUUUCUCUUUGAAAAAGUGUGAGAGCGAGAAAACAAAGUGCAUUUUAAUAUAUUUUUCUAGACAAGACUAAUUUCUUCGGUGAAUCAUCAUCAUCCACAGGGCCGACGACCCAUUCUCGAUUUGAAGAAGAAGAAGAAGAAGACUUUAACCUGACCCGGGAUGAUUUUGAUGAGCUGGACAGGCUCGAUAAUCAGACUCGAAAUCUGACCUCGACAGCCAGUGAAGUCCCAGGACCUUCAAACACAGGCCGUCAGAAUCUGACAAGAAAUAGGUCAAUUAUCACGGAUUCUCUACAAGAGUUAUCCUCUCUCCGUACCAGGGUUUUUCCUCCAAAUCCAGAAGACACUCCAGGGACUUCUGGUUCUGCAGUAAGAGCUCGCUUUUCCCGGGCUCUGAGCCGUUUCGACGACAUUGAUCACACUCAAGUCUCGGGAGACCUCAACAACCUCCGUACUUCCGAUCUCCUGUUCGCACCUGGUCGAGUAGAAACCGCUGUCAAUACAAGCGAGGUGGUUGAUCUCACUGGGCCUACGCAGACCGAGCCUCCUACUACAAUCCAGGAGCUCAGAG
This is a long non-coding RNA of Salarias fasciatus (jewelled blenny), 1092 nucleotides long. RefSeq lists it as uncharacterized. The transcript is spliced from 7 exons. NCBI's taxonomy places the organism in Eukaryota, Metazoa, Chordata, Actinopteri, Blenniiformes, Blenniidae. The record is from RefSeq and is a predicted model, not a curated record.